This 497-nucleotide ribosomal RNA is filed under the name uncultured bacterium. RNAcentral's name for it is "partial 16S ribosomal RNA". It matches the Rfam family "Bacterial small subunit ribosomal RNA", at positions 28 to 507 of the family's 1533-position model. The record is from RNAcentral.
GAUGAACGCUGGCGGCGUGCCUAAUACAUGCAAGUCGAGCGAACAGAUGAGGAGCUUGCUCCUCUGACGUUAGCGGCGGACGGGUGAGUAACACGUGGAUAACCUACCUAUAAGACUGGGAUAACUUCGGGAAACCGGAGCUAAUACCGGAUAAUAUAUUGAACCGCAUGGUUCAAUAGUGAAAGACGGUUUUGCUGUCACUUAUAGAUGGAUCCCCGCCGCAUUAGCUAGUUGGUAAGGUAACGGCUUACCAAGGCAACGAUGCGUAGCCGACGUGAGAGGGUGAUCGGCCACCCUGGAACUGAGACACGGUCCAGACUCCUACGGGAGGCAGCAGUAGGGAAUCUUCCGCAAUGGGCGAAAGCCUGACGGAGCAACGCCGCGUGAGUGAUGAAGGUCUUCGGAUCGUAAAACUCUGUUAUUAGGGAAGAACAAAUGUGUAAGUAACUAUGCACGUCUUGACGGUACCUAAUCAGAAAGCCACGGCUAACUACGUG